This 206-nucleotide ribosomal RNA is filed under the name uncultured bacterium. RNAcentral describes it as "partial 16S ribosomal RNA". It matches the Rfam family "Bacterial small subunit ribosomal RNA", at positions 568 to 774 of the family's 1533-position model. The record is from RNAcentral.
CACGUAGGCGGACCGGAAAGUUGGAGGUGAAAUCCCAGGGCUCAACCUGGAACUGCCUUCAAAACUAUCGGUCUGGAGUUCGAGAGAGGUGAGUGGAAUUCCGAGUGUAGAGGUGAAAUUCGUAGAUAUUCGGAGGAACACCAGUGGCGAAGGCGGCUCACUGGCUCGAUACUGACGCUGAGGUGCGAAAGCGUGGGGAGCAAACA